Molecule: transfer RNA, 69 nt
Filed under: Aethaloperca rogaa
Lineage: Eukaryota; Metazoa; Chordata; Actinopteri; Perciformes; Serranidae
Description: tRNA-Arg
Rfam family: tRNA
About the family: Transfer RNA (tRNA) molecules are approximately 80 nucleotides in length.
Source: RNAcentral
AGGUAUUUAGUCUAAUAAAGACACUUGAUUUCGGCUCAAAUACUUAUGGUUAAAGUCCAUAACUACCUU